GGGGGAGAACAGUCUGUGAGAGCAUGAAAAUGUUCUAAGCAUGACAUUGUGAAGGAAAAUUGGAAUGUUCACCAUACACUGAGCGUUAGAAAAAAUAGACAUGGUAUAGGCCCUGCUCUCAAUAGGCUUAAGACAAAACAAGUAAGACAUGAGAGCAAGAGCCUGAUAAGAUAGUUCAAAGCUGUGAGGAAAGCGCACAGUGUAUGACUUAGCGUCGUGGUUGUGCUGGUGGAGAGUGCUGCUGGGAAGAGAGACUGAAGAAAUGAUGACUGUGGUGGAGGAAGAGAUAAGAGGAUAAGAGCAAUGGCUUGAAAGAAAAGCCUCAAAGCACUCAAACCUCCUUUGUGUAAUGAUGGACAUGAUCUUGAGAAUGUCCAUUUCAGGAAACACCAUAACAUUGUGUGUGUGUGUGUGUGUGUGUGUGUGUGUGUGUGUGUGUGUGUGUGUGCUUAAAAAGCCACCACCAUAAAAGAUGUAGAGUCCACUCAUGAAGCUCAAGUACCAGUUUUUGCCCAUGAAUGUGGAACUUUCUGCUAUCCUGCAAACAGUAACUGUCACAUUAUACAGGCACAGCUCUCAUUUUCUUGGUUAUUUAGUGGCCAUAUAUAAACACGUAUAUGGCUUGUGGUAAAUAUGGUGAUUCUCACUUUAUACCCAAAGAGGGUGGAUGUUACAGCUUGUGAGCAGUUAUGACCGUAAAGCCUGCCGUGUGAGUCACGGGGUUUGGCCCAGGUAUUACGAUGUGUUUUUAUUCAUGUUGGUUAGCUGGAUUUCCUGGGCUAACCUCGUUGGAGUUUGCUUUGUGAGCAGUGGACCAGAUCUGUACUGAUAGAUCAAGUCUCUGAAUUCUGCUCCUAGUUCUCUGACUAUUUGGUUCUGCAAUUUGGGGAAAACUUUUUAAUCUUUCUGUUCUCAGUUCCUCUUUCUGUAAGCAAGGGAUCAGACCAAAUUCCACCCAUUCUCUGCUGUGGCAGAGACUGUUCAUGCUGACUAUCCUUAACAGAUUUGUUCAGUCAGUAACCAAUGUAAUUAUGGUUACAAAGUGCAUCUUAAUUAUAUUAGAUGACAUCUACCCAGCCAAAAGAUGCUUAUUAGCCUCCCUUAGAAAUAGGUGUAGCCAAUGAAAUGUAAGCAGAGGGAGCUCCUCUCCAGAAGCACUCCCUUUCACCCUUGUUCCUCUUCCUGUAGUAUUGACUUGGGAAUGUUCAUGUGAUGACUGGAGCACCAGUGGCCGUCUUGCAACCUGAAUGGUCUUGAGAAUAGAAGACAUAUAUAAAGGAUGGUGGCACAGAAAGAAUAGGAGCCUGAGUCUCUGGUGAAAAUGCUGUCAUCAUUCAACAUUGGCCUACAUCUGGAUUUUCUUCACAUGAGACAAAAAUAAACCUUUCUUUGACUGAAGCCACUACUAGCCACCUAAUUCAACUUGUAACUAAUAUAUUGGCAUCUUUAUAUAACUUUCCAUACUAGGUUCACUAUUUGCGAUAUUGGAGAUGAGCUUAAUAAUAAACUUGGGAUUUUUGGUUCUAUUAAAGGCAUAUCAUAAUUUACAAAAUUUCUAAAAUCAAGUAAUUAUUCGAUUUAUGAAGACACAGCCAUGAUGUGUGAAGAAUUGCCAGCAUUUGGUAGAAACUGGGAGGGAGAAAACCAAGGGAGAAAACUACAGUUUAGGUUUUUAGGGCCACACCUGGUGGUUCCCAGACUGGGGGUCAAAUCAGAGCUGCAGCUGCUGGCCCUAUGCCACAGCCACGGCAAUGCCAGAUCCAAGCCAUGUCUGUGAUCUACACCACAGCUCACGGCAACGUCGGAUCCUUAACCCACUGACCAGGGCCAGGGAUCGAAUCUGCAUCCUCCUGGAUACCGGUUGGGUUUGUUACACUGAGCCACUAAGAAAACUCUCCAGAACUUUUUAAUUAUUGAAAAUUGUUGGGGUUUGGGAAGCUGAAAGUAUUUUUUAUCUCAGUUUGUAGCAAGUUCAUGUUUUAAUAGAAUGCAUACCUCUAUUUCUCAGUACACCUGUGCUUUGAUCUCCUUGUCUGUCAUUGCAAUGCGAUUAUGAGGAUUACUGGGUCAUUCUCAGCCUAAGUUGUUUGUGUGAUUUAAUUUUCUGGGAGAGGAAGGGGAUCAUUAAAGGAUAUCAUUAAAAGGAGAGACAUGAGGCUUGUAAUUGACCUUCCUUGAAAGUAGUCCCAUCUGGAAGAUUUUAUCGGUAAACAUUUAUCAGUGUAUUUGGCUUUUAAGAAGAUUCUUCUCCUCUUGUCUUUAAAACAAACAGGCAAGAGGAACCACAUAAGUGCUUCUAGGUUGCUUUCAUGCAUACUCACUGGGAAGAAAAUUUAUAUGUAAGAAAAAAGUUCUCUUCAAGAUAAUUAUGAUUCUUUUUUUUCAGUUUUGCUUCAAUGAGUCUCUUUCUCAGAUUAUAAUUUGCAGGUGAUGGUGUUCUUCAAUGAUUAUGCUUUGUUGUGAUUUGUUAUCAUGAAUGUUUACAGCAGAGGUGUUAGGAGGGAUGGGAUAUCUAUGAAAUCGAUGUGCAGGAGCUUUGAAAAUCUCUUCCAGCUCUGUAAGUGUGUUAAGCCCAGCACUAGUCUGUAACUUCACAUUGUACUUUUCUAGAAGACAUGAACUAUUUUUAGGAAGACAGACGUUGCUGUGGUUUAAAUAAAAGUACCAACAUGACGUAUUACCAGUAGAGUACAUAACCCAAGCAGUCUCGUAAAGUUGUGUUUUUUGAGUAUCAGAAGUGCUUCAGUUUUUACAUAUCUGAAAGUUUUCCUGUUUGCUUGGUUUUAUUUGUUUACUUAAUCGCAGUCAAUAGUUACAACCCUUGUUGUCUUCCAGUUCCACAUCUACUUUAAGAAAGAAAAUUUGUGUUUUUAAAUCUGUUUUGCACUUUUACAUUACAUUUACUGAGACAUUUCGCCUUGCUGACAGCCAACCAGGUUUCUACCACUCCCUUGAGAAUACACUCUUCAGUCAAUUCAAAAAGCAGCAUUUGACUUUGUGGAGUUAAGGGUAUUAUACACCCAUAAGCAGUUGUUACACACUGGUUUUUUUCACACUCAGUAAAAUGUCCUGGAUGCAUUUCUUCUACAUGCAGUAUGUUAAUGGCUUCCUUUCCCCACUUAAUGAGGGUUCCAUGAAGUUUUAGGCCAAGUAUGGAUUCCAUAUGGAUUUCACCGCUUGAGGAGGCUUAGUUAUUCUCUGUGUCCUAUUAUCAGAACUCUCUCCAUUUGUGGCUUCAUUCCCAGUUUCCAUACACCUGGGACAGCACAAGUGUCAGAAUCCUAGAGCUAUAUCUUUCCAGGUUUUUCAUCCAACAGAAAAAGAGAGCUUUUCUCUCUAGCAGCUCCCAUACAAUAAGGUUGUAGACCCUACCGUGAGCCAGUCACAGCGGCCCCAUCGAACAGUGAGGAAGCUCCCCCAAAGGGAAUCCGGAUACUGUUUUCAAAGGAAAGGAAAACUGGGAGUGCCUGACUGGCUCAGCGGUUAAAAAAUCUGACUAGCAUCCAUGAGGAUGCAGGGAUCAAACCCACAACCCCAUGGUUCCUAGUCGGAUUCGUUUCCGCUGCACCAAGAUGGGUACUCCUGAUAAACUGGAUUAUUUGUAAAAGAAUACUAAAAUACCAAGCAAGAUUUGUUUUCUGUCUUAAUUUUUUUUUUUUUGUUCCAUUCCUUUUAGGUAAGAAUUAGCAUCUGAAAACACCGCAUUAUAGGAUUAUAAAUAAAAGUUUCCAUUGUAAUUUCAUCAGCAUAAAGAAAUCACUUCUCCACUUUAUCAUGCAGGAGAGUUGAAUGCUGGGUCAUUUGUUAAUUGUAAAGGUCAUUCUUCAUAAUUUUUUUUUAAUGACUUGCAAAAUUUGAUGCUGGCAGUAUACCAAGUCUAAGCAAAACUGACUUCAAAAUGAGUGUUGGGCCUUUAUUGUUUCCUGCAUGUUGCUCACUGACCCAUCUCUUCAGAGGUAUCAGCUGUGUGAAAACACUAGUGCCUUUUUCCAAAAACACAAGAUCUGGUUGACUUCAUCGCUUUGGUCAGCCUCUUGUUAUCCUGACCCAAAAUAGUGUUAGCAAAAAGAAAUUGUUGUCUCAGGCCUCCAGAAUCUCAGAGCAGUGCUAAGAGUACCCCCUACUCUUUCCCGUGUUUCUACAUUUAGUUUCAUUGUGGAGGAUAAAGCACAGCUUCUGUGCUUUCCUCUUUGGGAAUCUUUUCUGUGCACUAUACUGGCUCCACCAGUCCUUCCUUUGAAUUCUCUGGUGUCUCAGGCAUGGUGUAAUUGAAUUCUAGGUUACAAAUGUAUUUUCACAACACUUUGCAGGCUUCUUUCCAUUGUUCUCUAACAUUGGUGACAUCCCAAUGUCUAUCAAAACCUAUUUGUCUCUGUAUAGAAAUGUAUGACUGUCUCGUCCUCCUUGAUGUCUCUGUAUUUCAUGAUCAAUUGUCUUGGUCUUGUCUUUUCACUCCAGAUAUAUGGGUUCUUUAAUUCUGUUUUUUUGUUUUUUUUUUAUUAGUUCACUGAUUAUUUUAUCUUCUUCACUUUCUCUGUUCCUGGGAUUCUUGUUAGUUGAAGUUGGACCUUCUAGAUCAAACCCUUUAAUUUCCUCUCUUUUCUUCCUCUUUUUCAUCUCUUUGGUGUUUUGUUAUACCUUCUAGAAAUUUCUUCAAAUUUAUCUUCCAAACUUUCUUUUAAAAGUUUCAUUUUGGGAGUUCCCUAGUGGCCUAGUAGUUAAGGAUCCAGGGUUGUCAUCACUGUGGCGCAGGUUUGAUCGCUGAUCCGAGAGGGUCUGCAUGCCCAGGGAACGGCCAAAAUUUGUUUUCCAUUUUGGCUGUUUGUUUUCAAUUUCAACACUCUCCUGUCCUCUGCUCUUGCCUUUUUAAUAGCACCCAUUCUUAUGUCAGCAAUACAUUAUCCUUCUACACAAAUGAUAGUUCUUUAGAGGUUUUCCUCUUUCUCUCUGUUUCCUGUGGAUUUUUUUACUCAGUUGAUGUGGUUUGCUCAUUCUGUCCUCUCCUUCAUCCUGGAUAAUUCCCUAGAGAGGCUGUACAUUUGUAUUUAAAGGUUGCUCUCUCACUCACUUACACAUACACACACACUCGCACACACACAGACAACAGAACUGUGAUGAUAAGGACAAAUACACUAUCAAAGACAGCAAAACAAUAAUGAUGACAAGACUAAAUACACUAUCAAAGUUCUGUGAACAUGGAUGGGGCUUGUCAGCUGUGGAGUCUCAAUACAGCAUGAUGGGUUUUUCAGGUGGCUUGUUCUUUGGGAAGUUCUCCAGUAUCACUAUGAGGAGAUUCUCCAGUUCAUUCCUGGGAGAUAUGCACCUGUGGACAUAUAACUGACUGCUAGGGUUCAGGAAACAUGGCAUAUAAGCAGGUUGGUUGUCUGACUAGGAACUCCUCAGUCAAACAUCUAUUUUUCGACUUGGGUCACACUUUUUUGGUCACAGUGCCUGAUGUCUUCAGUUUGAUGUCUUUCUGGUCUGUGUUCUCCAGAAAAGAUUCCGUCUCCAGCAGGAGAGAGAAGUAGUUGGGACCCAAAGUCUCCACAUAUUUUUUUUUAAAUUAAAGUUUAAUUGAUUUACAUUGUUGUGUCAAUUUCUGCUGUAUAACAUAGUGACCAAUUCAUAUACAGAUAUAUGUGUGUGUGUGUGUAUUUAUACACAUAUUCUUUUUCUUAUACUAUCUUCUAUCGUGCUCUAUCCCAAGAGAUUGGAUAUAGUUCCAUAUAAUUUUAAUGUACUUUCAGCCUCUCCCUAAACUCCCACCUGCCUUCCUUAGAGUAUGCUUCCUUCCGCUAAGCGCUCCGUCUCUCGGGGCUGGGCAGAACAUAUUAGUUCACUUUCUCGUGGAAUUGCUCUCUCUAGUCAUUUCCUCCAUUGUGCUAAGGCAUUUUCUACUUCUCUGUCCACUAAACAUUUCUAGAAAUUCCUCCUUUGAUGGUCUCCUCCCUCAUUAUCUAUGCCUCUGUGGCUUUGUGUGUUUUUAUUUUAGUGAGAUGUCAAAAAGAGGAAGAGCAGAUAAGCCUGUAGGAUUUCGCCGUCUUUACUAGAAAUCCAGGGGAACCAUAGCUGAGGAGGAAGGAGGCUUGGAAGAGCACUUAUAAUAGGAAAAAGUGAUCAAACAAGUUGGAUUAAAGAUCAGCAAAACUGUAGAAGGUGCUGCUUCUGCUGAUAGCUAACAUUUACUGAGUGCUCAUUAUGCACUUGGAGCUUUGCAAAAAUUUCUUUACAUGGGACAUUU
Molecule: long non-coding RNA, 6241 nt
Filed under: Sus scrofa (pig)
Lineage: Eukaryota; Metazoa; Chordata; Mammalia; Artiodactyla; Suidae
Description: lncRNA (ENSSSCG00060002464.1)
Source: RNAcentral